Molecule: small RNA, 1332 nt
Filed under: Rattus norvegicus (Norway rat)
Lineage: Eukaryota; Metazoa; Chordata; Mammalia; Rodentia; Muridae
Description: uncharacterized LOC102551333
Source: RNAcentral
UACCCAUACCACCUGCAUGGAGCUCCUUCCUGUUAGCUUUCUUACCUGUGUCCUCUAGCACCUCCCUGAGACCCCGAGCACAAUCGGGGUCAAGCUCCACAUUCUGUCUAAGGUUCCAUGACCUGCCCCACCCCUCCUUCUGUGGGGAGAUGUCAACAGUCCAAGGGCCCCACUGUGAUACUCUUACGAAGGGUGGCAGCUGCUCAGAGGAAUAGGCAUCCCACGGACCCUCCUCACCAGCACUCGGCUUCCGGCACUGCGCUAUUCUCUGGAAAGAUAACUACCCAUAGUCCUCUGGUGCGUCCUGAACACUCAGUUGGAGGAAGAUUCUGCCUGAGGAGGCAGUGCGAAGAGCCUGGGGUCUGAUGCCCCAGUGGGCGCGCCACGAAGCUUCACCCCAUCACAAGCUCAGAACAUCUUGAGCAAGUUGCCUCAGUUUCCCAUCUGGAGGGUGGGUCAGCAGCCUGAAGCUUAAGUCGCAAUGACCGUCAGCCAGUGAAGGUUUGCCAGGAGCCUCCUGACUGCUUCCCACACGGGCUUGAAAUGGAUGCUAAGGACGACAGACACCAUGCUCAGCCCCAAAUGGGACAUCUGCAUCACCCAGGAGUCACUGAACAAGAGAAGGUAGAACUUCAUGGAUCGCACGGUUGUCCCCUUAGUCACCUGCCUUCACGCCCUUGACUCAGUCCCCACGCCGGGUCUCUACUGGACAUAACUACCAGGAUGGGUCACUCAAGACAUCAUCAGAGGAGCCUCUUUGUAUGGCCAACUGGUGCAGAAGAUUUCAUCAGGAGACAGUGGAGCCGGGGGAGCGGAGCUGAGCAGAUAGGCUACAACAGUUGCCCAUCCUGUCCCACUGUGACACAACCCAGAGGCUGGAGAAUUUAUGUGAAAAACACUUACUAUCUCUAGAAUCUGGAACGUCUGACAUCGAGGGUGCAGUGGUAACCAGUCUGGCCCAGACUAUCAUCCCAUAGCGCCUCCAGGUGAGAGAGAGCAGGCUCACUCUACCUCACAUCAACCCACCGCCACAGCAUCCCUUUGUGACAGCCGCACUGUCAGAGAGAACUCCCCGGAAACACCCCACGUCUCGGCCUAAUGAGGUACUGCAAAUUACAAUCCCAACCCACACGCCUUGGGGAACUCCACUCACCCACAGCCACCUCGAAGAGGCAGCCACCCUGUCAGAGCGAGCCGGGAAGCCUCCCUGUGCAACGGUUCUAGUUUCAGACCAAUGUCGGGAGCCAGCGGGUAAGUCUUACACCCAGUAGCAGAGUUCCCGGACAGGGUCCCUGGUUCCACGUCCUGCAGUAACCUGUCCCAAGAGGCAUC